Molecule: ribosomal RNA, 274 nt
Filed under: uncultured bacterium
Lineage: Bacteria
Description: partial 16S ribosomal RNA
Rfam family: Bacterial small subunit ribosomal RNA
Source: RNAcentral
AUACAGAGGGUGCAAGCGUUAAUCGGAAUUACUGGGCGUAAAGCGCGCGUAGGCGGCUGAUUAAGUCAGAUGUGAAAUCCCAGGGCUCAACCUUGGAACUGCAUCUGAAACUGGUCAGCUAGAGUUUGGGAGAGGGAAGUAGAAUUUCAGGUGUAGCGGUGAAAUGCAUAGAGAUCUGAAGGAAUACCAGUGGCGAAGGCGACUUCCUGGCCUAAAACUGACGCUGAGGCGCGAAAGCGUGGGCAGCAAACGGGAUUAGAAACCCCUGUAGUCC